UACGUAGGGGGCAAGCGUUGUCCGGAUUCAUUGGGCGUAAAGAGCGUGUAGGCGGCCAGGUAGGUCGGUUGUGAAAACUGGAGGCUCAACCUUCAGAGGUCGACCGAAACCAUCUGGCUAGAGUCCGGGAGAGGAGAGUGGAAUUCCUGGUGUAGCGGUGAAAUGCGCAGAUAUCAGGAAGAACACCCGUGGCGAAAGCGGCUCUCUGGAACGGUACUGACGCUGAGACUCGAAAGCAUGGGGAGCAAACAGG
Molecule: ribosomal RNA, 253 nt
Filed under: uncultured bacterium
Lineage: Bacteria
Description: partial 16S ribosomal RNA
Rfam family: Bacterial small subunit ribosomal RNA
Source: RNAcentral